GAUGAAGAACGUAGCGAAAUGCGAUAAGUAAUGUGAAUUGCAGAAUUCAGUGAAUCAUCGAAUCUUUGAACGCACAUUGCGCCCGCCAGUAUUCUGGCGGGCAUGCCUGUUCGAGCGUCAUUACAACCCUCAGGCCCCCGGGCCUGGCGUUGGGGAUCGGCGGAGCCCCCCGUGGGCACACGCCGUCCCCCAAAUGCAGUGGCGGUCCCGCCGCAGCUUCCAUUGCGUAGUAGCUAACACCUCGCAACUGGAGAGCGGCGCGGCCACGCCGUAAAACACCCAACUUCUGAAUGUUGACCUCGAAUCAGGUAGGAAUACCCGCUGAACUUAAGCAUAUCAAUAAGCGGAGGA
This 351-nucleotide unclassified non-coding RNA is filed under the name soil metagenome. Its description in RNAcentral is "partial contains 5.8S ribosomal RNA, internal transcribed spacer 2, and large subunit ribosomal RNA". The stretch from base 1 to 120 matches the Rfam family "5.8S ribosomal RNA", at positions 35 to 154 of the family's 154-position model. The record is from RNAcentral.